ACAUGCAAGUCGAACGAGUUCUGAUUAUUGAAAGGUGCUUGCAUCUUGAUUUAAUUUUGAACGAGUGGCGGACGGGUGAGUAACACGUGGGUAACCUGCCCUUAAGUGGGGGAUAACAUUUGGAAACAGAUGCUAAUACCGCAUAAAUCCAAGAACCGCAUGGUUCUUGGCUGAAAGAUGGCGUAAGCUAUCGCUUUUGGAUGGACCCGCGGCGUAUUAGCUAGUUGGUGAGGUAACGGCUCACCAAGGCAAUGAUACGUAGCCGAACUGAGAGGUUGAUCGGCCACAUUGGGACUGAGACACGGCCCAAACUCCUACGGGAGGCAGCAGUAGGGAAUCUUCCACAAUGGACGCAAGUCUGAUGGAGCAACGCCGCGUGAGUGAAGAAGGCUUUCGGGUCGUAAAACUCUGUUGUUGGAGAAGAAUGGUCGGCAGAGUAACUGUUGUCGGCGUGACGGUAUCCAACCAGAAAGCCACGGCUAACUACGUGCCAGCAGCCGCGGUAAUACGUAGGUGGCAAGCGUUAUCCGGAUUUAUUGGGCGUAAAGCGAGCGCAGGCGGUUUUUUAAGUCUGAUGUGAAAGCCCUCGGCUUAACCGAGGAAGUGCAUCGGAAACUGGGAAACUUGAGUGCAGAAGAGGACAGUGGAACUCCAUGUGUAGCGGUGAAAUGCGUAGAUAUAUGGAAGAACACCAGUGGCGAAGGCGGCUGUCUGGUCUGUAACUGACGCUGAGGCUCGAAAGCAUGGGUAGCGAACAGGAUUAGAUACCCUGGUAGUCCAUGCCGUAAACGAUGAAUGCUAGGUGUUGGAGGGUUUCCGCCCUUCAGUGCCGCAGCUAACGCAUUAAGCAUUCCGCCUGGGGAGUACGACCGCAAGGUUGAAACUCAAAGGAAUUGACGGGGGCCCGCACAAGCGGUGGAGCAUGUGGUUUAAUUCGAAGCAACGCGAAGAACCUUACCAGGUCUUGACAUCUUUUGAUCACCUGAGAGAUCAGGUUUCCCCUUCGGGGGCAAAAUGACAGGUGGUGCAUGGUUGUCGUCAGCUCGUGUCGUGAGAUGUUGGGUUAAGUCCCGCAACGAGCGCAACCCUUAUGACUAGUUGCCAGCAUUUAGUUGGGCACUCUAGUAAGACUGCCGGUGACAAACCGGAGGAAGGUGGGGAUGACGUCAAAUCAUCAUGCCCCUUAUGACCUGGGCUACACACGUGCUACAAUGGAUGGUACAACGAGUUGCGAGACCGCGAGGUCAAGCUAAUCUCUUAAAGCCAUUCUCAGUUCGGACUGUAGGCUGCAACUCGCCUACACGAAGUCGGAAUCGCUAGUAAUCGCGGAUCAGCACGCCGCGGUGAAUACGUUCCCGGGCCUUGUACACACCGCCCGUCACACCAUGAGAGUUUGUAACACCCGAAGCCGGUGGCGUAACCCUUUUAGGGAGCGAGCC
This 1439-nucleotide ribosomal RNA is filed under the name Lacticaseibacillus rhamnosus. RNAcentral's name for it is "bacterial SSU rRNA". It matches the Rfam family "Bacterial small subunit ribosomal RNA". The record is from RNAcentral. Lineage: Bacteria; Bacillati; Bacillota; Bacilli; Lactobacillales; Lactobacillaceae.